GCUGGCGGCGCGCCUAACACAUGCAAGUCGAACGAGAAAGUGGAGCAACCCAUGAGUACAGUGGCGUACGGGUGAGUAACACGUGGAUCAUUUGCCUUUUAGUGAGGAAUAACCAUGGGAAACCGUGGCUAAUACCGCAUAAGCCCGAGAGGGGAAAGUCGCAAGACGCUGAAAGAGAAGUCCGCGGCCGAUUAGCUAGUUGGUAGGGUAAAAGCCUACCAAGGCAAAGAUCGGUAGCCGGCCUGAGAGGGCACACGGCCACACUGGCACUGAAACACGGGCCAGACUCCUACGGGAGGCAGCAGUGGGGAAUCUUGCACAAUGGGGGAAACCCUGAUGCAGCGACGCCGCGUGAGCGAUGAAGCCCUUCGGGGUGUAAAGCUCUUUCGUCGGGGACGAUAAUGACGGUACCCGGAGAAGCAGCUGCGGCUAACUACGUGCCAGCAGCCGCGGUAAUACGUAGGCAGCAAGCGUUGUUCGGAGUUACUGGGCGUAAAGGGUGUGUAGGCGGUUGUUUAAGUUUGGUGUGAAAUCUCCCGGCUCAACUGGGAGGGUGCGCCGAAUACUGAAUGACUUCGAGUGCGGGAGAGGAAAGUGGAAUUCCUGGUGUAGCGGUGAAAUGCGUA
Molecule: ribosomal RNA, 626 nt
Filed under: uncultured bacterium
Lineage: Bacteria
Description: bacterial SSU rRNA
Rfam family: Bacterial small subunit ribosomal RNA
Source: RNAcentral